GAUGAACGCUGGCGGCGUGCCUAAUACAUGCAGGUCGAGCGAACGGACGAGAAGCUUGCUUCUCUGAUGUUAGCGGCGGACGGGUGAGUAACACGUGGAUAACCUACCUAUAAGACUGGGAUAACUUCGGGAAACCGGAGCUAAUACCGGAUAAUAUUUUGAACCGCAUGGUUCAAAAGUGAAAGACGGUCUUGCUGUCACUUAUAGAUGGAUCCGCGCUGCAUUAGCUAGUUGGUAAGGUAACGGCUUACCAAGGCAACGAUGCAUAGCCGACCUGAGAGGGUGAUCGGCCACACUGGAACUGAGACACGGUCCAGACCCCUACGGGAGGCAGCAGUAGGGAAUCUUCCGCAAUGGGCGAAAGCCUGACGGAGCAACGCCGCGUGAGUGAUGAAGGUCUUCGGAUCGUAAAACUCUGUUAUUAGGGAAGAACAUAUGUGUAAGUAACUGUGCACAUCUUGACGGUACCUAAUCAGAAAGCCACGGCUAACUACGUG
RNAcentral lists this ribosomal RNA (497 nucleotides) under uncultured bacterium. Its description in RNAcentral is "partial 16S ribosomal RNA". It matches the Rfam family "Bacterial small subunit ribosomal RNA", at positions 28 to 507 of the family's 1533-position model. The record is from RNAcentral.